GUCAUCAUGCCUGAUCCAAUUCUUUUUGUUUAGAGGAAAACGCUAUCCUGUAUCUUCUUUUCCUUUGGCGCUAACCACAAUGCUGCACUGGAACUCGGGGUUUUGGACUCACCCGCUCCCCGAAAUUCAGCACACGCCUCUUUCUUCCCUUCUCUGCCUAGCUGUGGUCCAGAAAGUGCAAGGAACCUGCCCCAGGUGCCACAGCCAGGGAGGGGGCAGGGCAGGACCUCCACCCUGGGGCUCCCAACCGAGGGCCAGGACCUGCCCAGGGACCCCCCCCCCGCCCGCCACCUCCACGUCGGAUUCUGGAGAGCCCCAGGGCUGCGGGCCUGGACUCCAGACUCCGUGGACACUCAGUACCUCCCGCACGCAGCGCCUGGAGCAGAAGCAAGAGUGUGUGAGUCUAGCGGGCCUGGCGUGAUCGCACCAGCCACGAGCCCCGGGUCAGGCCACCUCAGCCACCGUGGGCUUCCCGCGCUGUAAGAUGGGGAUAAACAGCAGCCCGUUGGGUUACCCUUGGCGGGGCUAGGAGGCUAAGCGCCCACCAGCCUGGGUUCCCCUCCCGGGCUAGGUGUGCGCAUGCGCCGUUUGUGAAACGGCAGGAAGGGCUCGGCCCAGCGGAGGCGUUUGUGAUCAAGCCUCCAGGCGGACCAGGAGGGACGCAGCACCCGGCGGCUGUGAAGAUAUCCGCUGCUGCCGACAGAGCUGUGGGGUCAUGCAGACGUUGGACACAUUGGAUUUGGACCCCAUCCCCCAUUCAUUCAUUCAGGACACAUUGGCUUUGGGCCCCAUCCUCCAUUCACUCAUUCAUGCAUGCAUACAUACAUUCAUUCAUCGAACUGCAGUCACGGUGAAGGAGUGGUUAAUACUACAGGGUCCAGCAGCCCCAAGAGGUUCAAAGCUGGGCGCAGGCACUUUCUGGCUGUGUGACCUUGGGCAAUCACUUCACCGCUCUGGGCUUCUGCACCUUCCUCUGUAGAACGUGGAUAACAGCAGUCCUUCCCACAGCUUUGUGAAGACCUGAAGUAUAGAAAGUGCUUAGUCCCAUACCUGGUACACAGUCAUGCUCAAGAAGUGAUGGAAAUCCUAAUGGGCAGGACCUGUGAAGCCCUGAGGCUCCAAGAGGAAGAGGAAGCUGCUCCACAUCACAGCCUGGAUGUGGAAUUUGAAGGCUGGGAUUUGAAACCAAGUCUCCUGGGAGAUUUUUGUGUAUCAGUCACGUCCCAACACCUAAGACCCCGCAGGAGCUUAGCAACAAGAAGAAAGCACAGCCCAUGAACCCAGAGAAGUUGAACAAUUUGAUCAGAGCCUCGCAG
This is a long non-coding RNA of Callithrix jacchus (white-tufted-ear marmoset), 1316 nucleotides long. RefSeq lists it as uncharacterized. The record is from RefSeq and is a predicted model, not a curated record. NCBI's taxonomy places the organism in Eukaryota, Metazoa, Chordata, Mammalia, Primates, Cebidae.